RNAcentral lists this long non-coding RNA (868 nucleotides) under Olea europaea subsp. europaea. Lineage: Eukaryota; Viridiplantae; Streptophyta; Magnoliopsida; Lamiales; Oleaceae. The record is from RNAcentral.
UUUUUAUAACUCGUUUUUUUAAUUCAUUUUUAAAUUUCAACCACACAUUCUCCAAAUAAAUCACUUUUCACGAGAUCUAAUCAAACAAAAUUUACAUCAAACAUGUGUAAAAAUACAUUAGGAAAAAAAGGAAAAAAUAAAACUUUCAAUAACAAGAUUUGGAGAGAAUCAAGUUACUAAUAGAUAGUUGACGAUACAUGACACUUUAUUGAGAAGCACUUGUGAGAGUGCUUACAAAUCAAUUAUCAAAAGGGUAUUGCUCAUACCUAACACUACAAUCAUACAGCUGUGCUCGAGCUCCGAUCCGCCCAUCACAAGACCCCAACAUGGCAGUUUUGGCUGCGCCAAGGCAGACCUUGCAGUCUGAUCUAGUCAAAUAUGUGCUACAUGUAGCAUGCCCAUAGGCAAAUGCAUUUGGAUAAGGCGAAAUAUUGUAGAAAUCAUAGCCUUCACGGGUGGGCGUGGUAGACUCCAAUUCAGCAAGAAUAUAGGCUAGACUAAUAGUAAAUGGAUCGCCUUUCGAGUAUGAAUUACUGUUGCACUGCACCAAUUUGACUCGAGUGUUUGGUGCACUCGAUACCACGAAACAAAAAGUGAGCAAUAAAAUUGACAAUUUAAGUAGGUUUUGGGUGAUCAUCGUCUUUGGUGGAAGAAGAAGAUCCAUUUGCAGACUUCUUUUUUUCAAGAAAAUGGGGUUUCAAUUAUUGUGGGACUAAGCGUGCUAGUGCAUAUAUAGGAUUCUUCGCCAAUUAUGAGAAUUUCAUUUGUUUGUUCUUGUUUCAUAUGUUUUGUCAUUGUUAUAGGAAAUGAAUAUGAUACAAGAAGUGGAUAAAAUAAUUGUAGAAAAUUUAGAGUGUGAUUGGCUAAG